AUCGUCACCGGUCCCACGAAGUGACACGAAUGUCAAAAAGUAAGCCUUUUCGGAUUUUUUUUUUUUUACAUAUUCCGUUAGGGUUGAAGGAAAUCUUCAUUCUCAUUGAGUUUAAAAGUCAAAAAAAGUGUUGCCAUGGUAUUUAAAGGUUUUACGUUUUGUAACAUACAUGUCGAAAACCGCUGUUUGCGUUUUCACGAACUGACACCAAGAUAACUGUCACUUCGUGAAAACGGCGCGCGCCCACCCGGCGGUUUCACGAAGUGACACAAACUGAACUCAUCCCCAAAUCUGAUCGAACCCUCACGCUGCAAAAUGCGCAUUAUGUUCGUCUUCGUGGGGACAAGAGCUGCGCGCAUGUGCAUUGUCCGCUUGACAACAACACAGAUCACAUGGAAGGCUUGGCAGGCUGUAACGUGUUGUGUAUGGUGAUUUUAGUUCUGCAAAGUGCACAGAUGUAAUACUACACACGGAAUGGCUUCACUUUACAUCCCCCAAAAGGUUUAAUUUCCGCAGACCUUGGUCUUGGUCUUGGAUCUUGAUUAGUCGUGAGUUUUGGGCCCAGCAGAUAUAAGGACUUCAUGGAAUUUAGCGGAGACAAACCGAAGAUGAGUACUUCAUAAGAGCACGAGGGCAAAACAAUAACUUAUACAGGUUUGUAACCAUGACAUUGGCUGCAUGUCUAUUACAUGUACAUAACUGUUGACUUCAGUUUGUGGAUUUACAACAGCUGAAUGGUCUUAUUUUGAAAACAAACCCCCCGACUUAACUAUGUGAACAGAAAUUAAAAGCCAGUGUGUGUUUUACACUGUUUACUGACUAUUAUAUGAAAGCACACAGGAACACGUAAAACAAUGAUAUCGUUUUUCACUCGUGAUAGGUUUUGCAUACAUUUUAAAAUGUUGUUUGUCGAGUAUUCAUAUUUUCUUGUUUUUCUGUUUUAAUGUGUCUGA
Long non-coding RNA from Asterias rubens (European starfish), 953 nucleotides. RefSeq lists it as uncharacterized. The record is from RefSeq and is a predicted model, not a curated record. The transcript is spliced from 3 exons. NCBI's taxonomy places the organism in Eukaryota, Metazoa, Echinodermata, Asteroidea, Forcipulatida, Asteriidae.